UAGCUUUAAAGUAUACAGAAGCGCAGUAAUGCGGUAUCUAUCAUCUAUUUAGAUAUAGUGCGGCAGGCGCCGGCGCAUAACGUUGCGAAGCUGCCUUUUUUAACGACCACAAUCUCACGAGCUUGGAGGUCGAUUUGGCGAGAACGCGUAAGGGCUCAUAUUAUGAAUACGAGGCAUAGCUGGUAUCGCUGAUUGACAAACUAUGGGCUGGAAAGUUAUGUCUCGAGUAAGUCGAGGCGUUUGCUGAUGGCAGCCACUGGGAGGCUUCUCUGAUGCACUUGAUGGAUUUUCCAUGCUCUCUGCUUUGAACUGUAACUCAAUUAUAAUAAAGAGAAUUCGAGUGAUGCCAA
Molecule: long non-coding RNA, 350 nt
Organism: Nasonia vitripennis (jewel wasp)
Lineage: Eukaryota; Metazoa; Arthropoda; Insecta; Hymenoptera; Pteromalidae
Exons: 2
Source: RefSeq, a predicted model, not a curated record